RNAcentral lists this ribosomal RNA (1350 nucleotides) under Campylobacter coli. RNAcentral's name for it is "bacterial SSU rRNA". It matches the Rfam family "Bacterial small subunit ribosomal RNA", at positions 66 to 1428 of the family's 1533-position model. The record is from RNAcentral. Lineage: Bacteria; Pseudomonadati; Campylobacterota; Epsilonproteobacteria; Campylobacterales; Campylobacteraceae.
CGAUGAAGCUUCUAGCUUGCUAGAAGUGGAUUAGUGGCGCACGGGUGAGUAAGGUAUAGUUAAUCUGCCCUACACAAGAGGACAACAGUUGGAAACGACUGCUAAUACUCUAUACUCCUGCUUAACACAAGUUGAGUAGGGAAAGUUUUUCGGUGUAGGAUGAGACUAUAUAGUAUCAGCUAGUUGGUAAGGUAAUGGCUUACCAAGGCUAUGACGCUUAACUGGUCUGAGAGGAUGAUCAGUCACACUGGAACUGAGACACGGUCCAGACUCCUACGGGAGGCAGCAGUAGGGAAUAUUGCGCAAUGGGGGAAACCCUGACGCAGCAACGCCGCGUGGAGGAUGACACUUUUCGGAGCGUAAACUCCUUUUCUUAGGGAAGAAUUCUGACGGUACCUAAGGAAUAAGCACCGGCUAACUCCGUGCCAGCAGCCGCGGUAAUACGGAGGGUGCAAGCGUUACUCGGAAUCACUGGGCGUAAAGGGCGCGUAGGCGGAUUAUCAAGUCUCUUGUGAAAUCUAAUGGCUUAACCAUUAAACUGCUUGGGAAACUGAUAGUCUAGAGUGAGGGAGAGGCAGAUGGAAUUGGUGGUGUAGGGGUAAAAUCCGUAGAUAUCACCAAGAAUACCCAUUGCGAAGGCGAUCUGCUGGAACUCAACUGACGCUAAGGCGCGAAAGCGUGGGGAGCAAACAGGAUUAGAUACCCUGGUAGUCCACGCCCUAAACGAUGUACACUAGUUGUUGGGGUGCUAGUCAUCUCAGUAAUGCAGCUAACGCAUUAAGUGUACCGCCUGGGGGAGUACGGUCGCAAGAUUAAAACUCAAAGGAAUAGACGGGGACCCGCACAAGCGGUGGAGCAUGUGGUUUAAUUCGAAGAUACGCGAAAGAACCUUACCUGGGCUUGAUAUCCUAAGAACCUUUUAGAGAUAAGAGGGUGCUAGCUUGCUAGAACUUAGAGACAGGUGCUGCACGGCUGUCGUCAGCUCGUGUCGUGAGAUGUUGGGUUAAGUCCCGCAACGAGCGCAACCCACGUAUUUAGUUGCUAACGGUUCGGCCGAGCACUCUAAAUAGACUGCCUUCGUAAGGAGGAGGAAGGUGUGGACGACGUCAAGUCAUCAUGGCCCUUAUGCCCAGGGCGACACACGUGCUACAAUGGCAUAUACAAUGAGACGCAAUACCGCGAGGUGGAGCAAAUCUAUAAAAUAUGUCCCAGUUCGGAUUGUUCUCUGCAACUCGAGAGCAUGAAGCCGGAAUCGCUAGUAAUCGUAGAUCAGCCAUGCUACGGUGAAUACGUUCCCGGGUCUUGUACUCACCGCCCGUCACACCAUGGGAGUUGAUUUCACUCGAAGCC